Molecule: long non-coding RNA, 645 nt
Organism: Solea senegalensis (Senegalese sole)
Lineage: Eukaryota; Metazoa; Chordata; Actinopteri; Pleuronectiformes; Soleidae
Exons: 3
Source: RefSeq, a predicted model, not a curated record
GAGUCGAGAGCACAGACAGGAUUGAACGGACGGAUUAGCAGCAGCAGCAGCAGCAGCAGGAUCUUUUUUUACCUCGACCAAGAUAUUUCUUCAGUGUCACUGUUCUGCACAGCAAAAGUGCGCUGCUGUCCCUGGGAAGAAGCCUGAAACGUGGACACUCACCUUCAAUUAAAGGGGAUGAUCAGCUGUCAGGCUUGGGGGAUUGCCUUUUGCUGCUGCUGCUGAAGCAGAGGGGGGAAUGCACGGACGUGAGAAGAACCCCUUGAAAACCCCCCAUCUGCACGUCAUGGAACAUUUGCAGGAGAGGGACCACCCACUUUAAAGGCGUGCAACAGAGAGCAGACACAACAGUGAGCUGUGGCCUGUACUGAACUCACCAUCUCAGGUGACAAAUACACCUACAUGUACCGCAGAGAGAGAGAGAGAGAGAGAGCGAUAGGGAAGACGAAGAAAUGACGCGAAUCCGCGGGAGAGCAGAUACUCAGCAGCGCUCACUCGGCCUCCUGCUGAGAACUACACGUGUUUAUCUGCACAAAAACGACUCAUGUUGGCGUUUUCCUGGAUCGUGUGCGCGCUGCUUGGGGGGGGGAAGAGCAGCACAGCUGCGGUGCUGUUACAGAUGUGAGCAGCAGGGGGCGCCUGAGG